UGUUAAAAAUUUCAUCCAUUUCCACUUUUAAAAAUUGGACAAAAUAACCAAACAAUUAAACGUGUGUCUCAUUCUAACAUACAUGGACCAAUUUUUAACAAUAGAAUUGGAUGAAAUUUUUAACA
Gossypium arboreum is the source of this 125-nucleotide microRNA precursor. It matches the Rfam family "MIR7502 microRNA precursor family". NCBI's taxonomy places the organism in Eukaryota, Viridiplantae, Streptophyta, Magnoliopsida, Malvales, Malvaceae. The record is from Rfam.